Molecule: ribosomal RNA, 502 nt
Filed under: uncultured bacterium
Lineage: Bacteria
Description: partial 16S ribosomal RNA
Rfam family: Bacterial small subunit ribosomal RNA
Source: RNAcentral
GAUGAACGCUAGCGGCAGGCCUAACACAUGCAAGUCGAGGGGCAGCACAGAAACAGCAAUGUUUUGGUGGCGACCGGCGGACGGGUGCGUAACGCGUAUGCAACCUACCUUUAACAGGGGGAUAACGGAGAGAAAUUUCCACUAAUACCCCAUAACAUCGAUCAAGGCAUCUUGAUUGGUUGAAAACUCCGGUGGUUAAAGAUGGGCAUUCGUUGUAUUAGGUAGUUGGUGAGGUAAUGGCUCACAAAGCCUACGAUACAUAGGGGGACUGAGAGGUUAGCCCCCCACACUGGUACUGAGACACGGACCAGACUCCUACGGGAGGCAGCAGUGAGGAAUAUUGGUCAAUGGGGGCAACCCUGAACCAGCCAUGCCGCGUGCAGGAAGACGGCUCUAUGAGUUGUAAACUGCUUUUAAACAGGGAUAAAGCACAGUAUGUAUACUGUGUUGAAGGUACUGUAAGAAUAAGGAUCGGCUAACUCCGUGCCAGCCGCCGCGGUAA